ACAAGCGGUGGAUGAUGUGGUUUAAUUCGUAUGCAACGCGAAAACCUUACCACCUUUGACAUGUACGGAAUCCUUUAGAGAUAGAGGAGUGCUCGAAAGAGAACCGUAACACAGGUGCUGCAUGGCUGUCGUCAGCUCGUGUCGUGAGAUGUUGGGUUAAGUCCCGCAACGAGCGCAACCCUUGUCAUUAGUUGCUACAUUCAGUUGGGCACUCUAAUGAGACUGCCGGUGACAAACCGGAGGAAGGUGGGGAUGACGUCAAGUCCUCAUGGCCCUUAUAGGUGGGGCUACACGCGUCAUACAAUGGAUGGUACAAAGGGUCGCCAACCCGCGAGGGGGAGCCAAUCCCAUAAAGCCAUUCGUAGUCCGGAUCGCAGUCUGCAACUCGACUGCGUGAAGUCGGAAUCGCUAGUAAUCGUGGAUCAGAAUGUCACGGUGAAUACGUUCCCGGGUCUUAC
Molecule: ribosomal RNA, 458 nt
Filed under: uncultured Acidovorax sp.
Lineage: Bacteria; Pseudomonadati; Pseudomonadota; Betaproteobacteria; Burkholderiales; Comamonadaceae
Description: bacterial SSU rRNA
Rfam family: Bacterial small subunit ribosomal RNA
Source: RNAcentral